This 377-nucleotide ribosomal RNA is filed under the name uncultured bacterium. RNAcentral describes it as "bacterial SSU rRNA". It matches the Rfam family "Bacterial small subunit ribosomal RNA", at positions 521 to 896 of the family's 1533-position model. The record is from RNAcentral.
UAAUACAGAGGUGCCAAGCGUUAGGCGGAAUCACUGGGCUUAAAGCGCGUGUAGGUGGACGGGUAAGUAUCUUGUGAAAUCCCACGGCUCAACCGUGGAACUGCUGGAUAUACUGCUUGUCUUGAGGCACUUAGGGGCAGCUGGAACAAAUGGUGGAGCGGUGAAAUGCGUAGAUAUCAUUUGGAACGCCAAAGGCGAAAGCAGGCUGCUGGGAGUGAUCUGACACUGAGACGCGAAAGCCAGGGGAGCAAACGGGAUUAGAUACCCCGGUAGUCCUGGCCCUAAACGAUGUCCACUAGAUUGUGGCGGCUCUGACGCCGUCAUGGUCGAAGCAAAAGUGUUAAGUGGACCGCCUGGGAAGUACGGUCGCAAGGCUA